ACGUAGGGGGCAAGCGUUGUCCGGAAUGAUUGGGCGUAAAGGGCGCGUAGGCGGCCUGGUAAGUCUGGAGUGAAAGUCCUGCUUUUAAGGUGGGAAUUGCUUUGGAUACUGUCGGGCUUGAGUGCAGGAGAGGUAAGUGGAAUUCCCGGUGGAGCGGUGAAAGGCGUAGAGGUCGGGAGGAAGAGCAGUGGUGAAGGCGACUUACAGGACUGUAUCUGAGGCUGAGGCGCGUAAGUGUUGGGAGCAUACAG
RNAcentral lists this ribosomal RNA (251 nucleotides) under uncultured prokaryote. Its description in RNAcentral is "partial 16S rRNA". It matches the Rfam family "Bacterial small subunit ribosomal RNA", at positions 525 to 775 of the family's 1533-position model. The record is from RNAcentral.